RNAcentral lists this unclassified non-coding RNA (379 nucleotides) under uncultured Actinomycetes bacterium. RNAcentral describes it as "uncultured actinobacterium contains 16S-23S intergenic spacer region". The record is from RNAcentral. Lineage: Bacteria; Bacillati; Actinomycetota; Actinomycetes.
UCCGAGUUGACCCCGGCAGUCUCCUAUGAGUCCCCGCCAUCACGCGCUGGCAACAUAGAACGAGGGUUGCGCUCGUUGCGGGACUUAACCCAACAUCUCACGACACGAGCUGACGACAACCAUGCACCACCUGUGAACCGACCGCAAGCGGGGCACCUGUUUCCAGGUAUUUCCGGUCCAUGUCAAGCCUAGGUAAGGUUCCUCGCGUAGUGUCGAAUUAAACCACAUGUUCCACCGCUUGUGCGGACCCCCGUCAAUUCCUUUGAGUUUUAGCCUUGCGGCCGUACUCCCCAGGCGGGGUGCUUAAUGCGUUAGCUUCGGCACGGACGGGGUCGAUGUCCGCCCACACCUAGCACCCAACGUUUACGGCUAGGACUAC